Callorhinus ursinus (northern fur seal) is the source of this 1408-nucleotide non-coding RNA. The record is from RefSeq and is a predicted model, not a curated record. NCBI's taxonomy places the organism in Eukaryota, Metazoa, Chordata, Mammalia, Carnivora, Otariidae.
GUCUGCGUUUUGCACUGACCAAGUGCAUUUCUUGCCACUGAGGUGUGCCCUGCGGAAACCUGUGCUUCCCUCGCCCAGCCUGUUAAGCGCUGCCCUCCGCGAAUAUGUCCAAGUCUCUGAAAAAGUUGGUGGAGGAGAGCUGGGAGAAGAACCAGCCGGAAGUGGACAUGAGUGACCAGGGCAUCUCCAACAUGCUGGAUGUCAACGGCUUGUUCUCUUUAGCCCACAUCACGCAGCUGGUCCUCAGCCACAACAAGCUAACAACGGUCCCACCAAACAUAGCAGAACUGAAGAAUUUGGAAGUGCUCAACUUUUUUAAUAACUAGAUUGAGGAGCUGCCCACACAGAUCAGCAGCCUUCAAAAGCUCAAACACCUGAACUUGGGCAUGAAUAGACUAAACACUUUGCCUCGAGGAUUUGGCUCCCACCCAGCUCUUGAGGUCCUUGAUUUGACUUACAACAACUUGAAUGAAAAUUCUCUUCCCGGAAACUUCUUCUACCUUACCACCCUGCGUGCACUCUAUCUAAGUGACAACGAUUUUGAAAUCCUGCCACCAGAUAUUGGGAAGCUCACAAAGUUGCAGAUACUCAGCCUUGGAGAUAACGACCUGAUCUCGCUGCCUAAAGAAAUCGGGGAGCUUACUCAGGUUAAGGAGCUCCACAUUCAGGGGAAUCGCCUGACCGUUCUGCCCCUAGAACUAGGAAACUUGGAUUUAACUGGUCAGAAACAAGUGUUCAAAGCAGAGAACAAUCCCUGGGUUACCCCAAUCGCUGACCAAUUCCAGCUUGGCGUGUCCCAUGUUUUUGAAUAUAUCCGUUCUGAGACGUACAAAUACCUCUACGGCAGACACAUGCAAGCAAACCCAGAACCACCGAAGAAAAAUAAUGACAAAUCGAAAAAGAUCAGCCGGAAACCCCUGACAGCCAAGAACAAAUAAAGGGUUGGCAUGGGCUGAACUUCUGGUUGCUUUCCUCAUGAUGACUUCUGUUCUCUGUUACUGUAUCCCACAAAUAAAUACAUGUGUAUGUGUUCUUUAUUUCUCUUUCUAGAGCUUAUCACUUUACCUUUUAAAUGUUUUUGGUAGGUGGUAGAUUUUUAUAAAUUCUUAAAACCAUGUCCAUUUGUUUGCUUAAAAAUGCCAAAGGCAGGAAACAAAGCUCUAAUUCAACUGCAAAUUCUAUAGUAGGCACAGAGUUCAGUCCCUUGAAUAGAUGUUCACAAAGCUGCAUGUUAUCAAAAGAAUAAUUAAAACCAUGUGAUCAUUUAAAUGUCACAGCUAACACCGUUCACUCUUCUGUUUAUUCACAUAACUCAUUAUUUUGCUUUGUUAAAAGCUUGUUAAAAGCUGUAACCAUCGAGAUAUUAUGUUAAAUAACAAAUAAUUUUUAAUAAAAUCUUGAAUUUGUA